Molecule: ribosomal RNA, 177 nt
Filed under: uncultured Rhodocyclaceae bacterium
Lineage: Bacteria; Pseudomonadati; Pseudomonadota; Betaproteobacteria; Rhodocyclales; Rhodocyclaceae
Description: partial 16S ribosomal RNA
Rfam family: Bacterial small subunit ribosomal RNA
Source: RNAcentral
GGGUAGGGCUUCACACGUCAUACAAUGGUCGGUACAGAGGGUUGCCAACCCGCGAGGGGGAGCUAAUCCCACAAAGCCGAUCGUAGUCCGGAUCGCAGUCUGCAACUCGACUGCGUGAAGUCGGAAUCGCUAGUAAUCGUGGAUCAGCAUGUCACGGUGAAUACGUUCCCGGGUCUU